UGCCAGCGCCGCGGUAAGACGAAGGUGGCAACCGUUGUUCGGAAUCACUGGGCAUAAAGCGCGCGUAGGCGGGAAAGCAAGUCGGGUGUGAAAUCCCUCGGCCCAACCGAGGAACUGCGCCCGAAACUGCUUUUCUUGAGGACAGAAGGGGAGCGUGGAAUUCCUGGUGGAGCGGUGAAAUGCGUUGAUAUCAGGAGGAACACCGGCGGCGAAGGCGACGCUCUGGUCUGUUUCUGACGCUAAGGUGCGAAAGCCAGGGGAGCAAACGGGAUUAGAUA
RNAcentral lists this ribosomal RNA (278 nucleotides) under uncultured bacterium. RNAcentral's name for it is "partial 16S ribosomal RNA". It matches the Rfam family "Bacterial small subunit ribosomal RNA", at positions 506 to 784 of the family's 1533-position model. The record is from RNAcentral.